This is a long non-coding RNA of Hemicordylus capensis (graceful crag lizard), 1102 nucleotides long. RefSeq lists it as uncharacterized. NCBI's taxonomy places the organism in Eukaryota, Metazoa, Chordata, Lepidosauria, Squamata, Cordylidae. The record is from RefSeq and is a predicted model, not a curated record. The transcript has 3 exons.
UAUCUGUGGUGCUGCAGCCUUACUUCACCUUGCCUGUUCUCCUCUGCAGGACAAGGGCAGUCAUGCUGUAGUUUGUUGCGAAAGUCAAAUUCGGCAUGACAGUAAGCCCACUGUGCCCCAAUCAUAUAUUCAAUUAGAGGGGGAGGGGACCUUUGGUUUACAGGAAUAGUUGUGGGUGUGGCAGUUCCAACCUAGCUCCCAAAGGUAAGGAAAGUCAAUGGCCUUUGAUUCUCACGCCAUGAGGGCAUGAGAUCUGAUGUCCAGUCUGUCAAGCUUGGUUCCAGGACCCGGGCAGGCAGUCUGCUCAGUGGGGUGGAACCUACCCCACCCAAGAACAAAGGUUCAGGGCUGGGCAAGGACAGACCAAGCCUGAGGUCUCGGGAGGCUCAGAUGGCAAGGGAGCCAGACUAGGAGGCAGGGAGACUAGGGAGCCUCCUUCCAGACUAGGAGGCAGGGAGACUUGCAAGAGGCUAGACUCAGCAGUAAAGUGAGCUGUUGUUCCAGCAAGAGCUAUUUGCUUGUGUGAGGCUUAGAAAGGCUCAGAGCCUAGAGCUGGUGGCUCAUCAGUGUGAGUAGCUGGGGCUGGUUGUUCCCUGGAUUCCAAGAGACCCCUACUCCCAAGGGGCCAUUCUUGAGAGAAGGCAGGCCAAGCAGCCAGUCUGGCACUUCUCCUCCAUUGUUGCAACUCUGCCCUCAUCCACUGGUGCUGACAGUAAAGCCUCAAACCCGCAGUAAAGCCUGCUGUCUGGGAAAGCUCCUGGGAAAAGAGACUGCAAUGAGUAACUGAACUUAUGCUGCUGCAGUCUCAGUCCAAAUCCUGGAGCCUUGAGAGAUGGGAGAUAAUGAACUGCUGGCUUCCACAUAAACAUCCGAGCCAACCUCGACACUCAAAUCCUACAUGAUGCAGCCAGCCUACAAAACUUUGAUCAGCUUCAGAGACUGUCAUAACUGAUGAUGUCAACCACCAUUCCUAAGUGAAAAUAGCCUGCCCUGCAAGCCACAAACUGAAGUUUGGUUUCAUGUGGCUGGAAUGUGUCCUUGUACUUGUACUAUCUAUGCCACUCUUGCUAAGGUUAAAAAAAAUAAAAAUGGGACAAGCAUG